This 497-nucleotide ribosomal RNA is filed under the name uncultured bacterium. RNAcentral's name for it is "partial 16S ribosomal RNA". It matches the Rfam family "Bacterial small subunit ribosomal RNA", at positions 28 to 507 of the family's 1533-position model. The record is from RNAcentral.
GAUGAACGCUGGCGGCGUGCCUAAUACAUGCAAGUCGAGCGAAAAGAUGCUGCUUUCGCUGUUCUCACGUUGCCAACGGACGGGUAACACAUACGUGGUCUACCCAGCUCUUCGAGUUAAGUAACUGCGACUAACCGGAGUACCUAACGGAUGAUAUAUUUAGCGUGAUGGUUGAAUAGUGAAAGAGGGUUAUGCUGUCACCUAUAGCUGUAACCGCGCCGCAGUAGCUAGUUGGUACGGUAACGGCUUCCCAAGGCCACCAUGCGUAGCCGACCUGAGAGGGUGUAGCGCCACACUGGGACUGAGACACGGUCCAGACUCCUACGGGAGGCAGCAGUAGGGAAUCGUCGGCGAUGGGCGAAAGCCUGACGGAGCAGCGCCGCGUGGGUGAAGAGGGUCUUCGGAUCGGAAAACUCUGUUAUUGGUGAAGACCAAUUGUGUAAGUAACGAUGCACGUCGUGACGGUACCUAGUCAGAAAGCCACGGCUAACUACGUG